AUAGUAUAUUGAUCAAAUUAACCUUUUCAGGCAAGAUGAACGCCGAGAAAAACAAGACUUUGGCAGAUGUUCUUGUUCGCUCAGACACCCCGUAGGAAGGACGAAGGUUUCUCAGAACUGCAGAUGCUGCUCUAUAAUCAGUUAUGAAGUUUUUUUGUGGGGUAAUCAAUUAGGAAGCUGAUGGUGGUAGUUUACUGAACUCUCAUUUUGGGGGAAAUCUGGAGAUGUCUUGGUCUGAUGGAGUUUUGUGAUCAACUUACUGUAUCCCGUUUUGAGGGCAAGUUGUGGAGAUUUUCUAGGCGAUAGGUUCACGGCAGAGCAUUCCAGCAAAUUUGCAAAAUUAAUCAGCAUGUAACGUCCAUCACCGAACGUUUAGUAGCUAGAUGAUACAUUCUUAGGGAAAGAUUGCUGCUUGGACAUGUUUAAUGUUAGGAGAAAGCUUAUGGGAUCUCUGUGUAUGUUAUCCAUGCGGCAUUGGCGGUUUGUUCCACUUCUAAUGUAGUAUUAGUAUUCAUGCGCUGAGUAAUACAGUAUCUACUUUUGUGUUAAUUGAUGGUAUAUUGCUCUUGUA
Long non-coding RNA from Triticum dicoccoides, 571 nucleotides. RefSeq lists it as uncharacterized. The record is from RefSeq and is a predicted model, not a curated record. The transcript has 2 exons. Lineage: Eukaryota; Viridiplantae; Streptophyta; Magnoliopsida; Poales; Poaceae.